UACAGAGGGUGCAAGCGUUGCUCGGAAUCAUUGGGCGUAAAGGGCAGGUAGGUGGUCUCGUUUGUCUGGGGUGAAAGCCCAGGGCUUAACCCUGGAAGUGCCCCAGAAACGGCGAGACUAGAGUCUUGGAGAGGGUCGUGGAAUUCCCGGUGUAGCGGUGAAAUGCGUAGAUAUCAGGAGGAACACCUGUGGUGUAGACAGCUUACUGGACCACUUCUGACGCUGAGACACGAAAGCGUGGGUAGCAAACAGG
Molecule: ribosomal RNA, 253 nt
Filed under: uncultured bacterium
Lineage: Bacteria
Description: partial 16S ribosomal RNA
Rfam family: Bacterial small subunit ribosomal RNA
Source: RNAcentral